This 441-nucleotide ribosomal RNA is filed under the name uncultured bacterium. RNAcentral describes it as "partial 16S ribosomal RNA". It matches the Rfam family "Bacterial small subunit ribosomal RNA", at positions 338 to 795 of the family's 1533-position model. The record is from RNAcentral.
CCUACGGGAGGCAGCAGUGGGGAAUAUUGGGCAAUGGAGGAAACUCUGACCCAGCAACGCCGCGUGAAGGAUGAAGGUCUUCGGAUUGUAAACUUCUGUUGCGAGGGAAGAAGAGUGACGGUACCUAGCGAGGAAGCCCCGGCAAUCUACGUGCCGGCAGCCGCGGUAAUACGUAGGGGGCCAGCGUUGUCCGGAAUGACUGGGCGUAAAGGGAGUGGAGGCGGCCUAUGAAGUUCUAGGUGAAAGCCGCCGGCGUAACCGAGGAACUGCAGAUAAAACUGGCGGGCUUGAGUGCUGGAGAGGUAAGCGGAAUUUCUGGUGUAGCGGUGGAAUGCGUAGAUAUUAGGAAGAACACCGGUGGCGAAGGCGGCUUACUGGACUGUAACUGACGCUGAGGCUCGAAAGCGUGGGGAGCAAACAGGAUGAGAUACCCGAGUAGUC